RNAcentral lists this long non-coding RNA (7128 nucleotides) under Sarcophilus harrisii (Tasmanian devil). RNAcentral describes it as "lncRNA (ENSSHAG00000032286.1)". Lineage: Eukaryota; Metazoa; Chordata; Mammalia; Dasyuromorphia; Dasyuridae. The record is from RNAcentral.
GGAGAUUUCUUGGCUGCGGGGCGGGGCGGAUAUUUUGCACAAAUUUAAGCUACUGGAUGGACAAUCCCCUGCUGGACCUGGCCCCUCCAGCCCUCCAGCCCUCCAGCCCUCUAGCGUUCCAGUCCUCCAGCCCUCCAGCUAUUGGUGCUGGAGAACAGGGCUAUCUAUCAGCUGUCGUCUGGCAGCUCCUCAGGGCCCUGCAGGUUGAGCUGCUCAGCUGCCACCCUUUUGCCUUUGCUCCCGAGCCACCUCCUGGCUGCUGCUGACUUGUUACUGGUGAGCCUUUUGUCUCCCAACUCCCCGUGGUCAGCUAGGGAUUUUGCUCUUAAAAUCCUUCUUGCCUAAAGAUCGGAAAAGAAUAAAUACAAAAGCAAUAGGAAGCCACAAAGAUUUCAAGAGGGGAAGAGGAAGAAUGUAUUUAUAUGAAAAUGUUUGUGUCGGCUCUUUUUGGGAUGGCAAAGGGUUGGAAGCAGAGGGGAUGCCCAUCACUGGGGAAGGGUGAGUCUCUGCGGGAUGUGAUUGUGAUGGGAAAAUGACAAAUGGGCUGAUUUCAGAAAAAACUUGCAAAGAAUUCCAGGAACUGGAGCAAAAGGAAACGAGCAGAGCAGGAGAAUAUUGCACAGAGCAACAGAAACGAAGAACUGCUUGACUUUGCUAUUCUUAGCAAUAUAAUGAGCCAAGACCAUUCGGUAGGAUUCGUGAGGAAAAAUGCUUUCCUCCUCUGGAGAAAGACUGGAUGUCGUCUGAAUGCAGAAAAACGUACAGUUUUUCAUUUUCUUUCUUCCUUUCUUUCAAGUCUUCUUGUACCAAAUGACUAAUAUGGAAAUGUUUUCCAUGAUUGCACAUCCAUAGCCUAUAUCUGAUUGCUUACCAUCUCAGGUAGGAGGGAGGAGAGGGUGAGGGAGGCGAGAGAAUUUGGAACUCAAGACUUUUUAAAAUGUUAAAAACUGCGUUUUUUUGGUAAUUGGACGAGUAGGGGGCUGGUUCUACCUUCUCCCCAGCAGCUCCAGUUCCGCCUCCGGAAGGAAGGCAAAUGAACCUGGGCGCUCCUGGCUAGUUUCCGCUAGGCUCCUUCUGAGGCAUCAAUGGGCCCAACAGCAGAGCGGGGAACCAGUUGUCUCAGUCACAAAGGGUGGGGCGCUGCUUUCCCAGCUUUGACACUGUUCCUUGGAUGCGAGGACCACAUGGGGGAGGACGUCCUCAGGCUCCAAAGACAAGACUCUUGUUGGCCACUCCGGCCACAUCACAAGCAAAGUGCAGAGUCUCAGGGAUCAAAGGCAACCCAGGAGGGAGUAACCGGGUCAGCUUCUGCUGGAGACCUCCCGACCCUUCAUGGUGGGACCGCUCUGUUAGAAGGGGAAGCUUUUCCUGCGUGAAGCUUAAACUGGCCAAGUUUCCAGCCAUGGUUCCUGGUUCUGUCUUCUGGGACCAAACAGAGGAAGUCUCAUUUGUCUCUCACAUGUCCUUCACUUGUUUUCAGUCAUGUCUAACUUCAUUUUCUUGGCAGAGAUACUGGAGGGGUUUGCCAUUUUCUUCUCCAGCUCAUUUUACAGAUGAGGAAACUGAGGCAGAGUUAAGUGACUUCCCACAUCUAGCAAGUGCUGAGGCCGGAUUUGAAGCCAGGGAGAUGAGUCUUUGGGACUCCAGGCCAAGUGCUCUGUGCCCUAUGGCAAUUCCUCACGGCCUGUCUCUCACAUGAUGUCCUACAGCCCCCUCCUCUCUUCUCUGGGCUAAACACACCCAAAUGUGUCAGUGAAUUCUAGCAGAGCUCGAAGAUGGCUGCUUUCCCUGGGCGCCCCCCAGGUAAUCAAUGUCCUCCCAAAACUGAGGUGCCCAGGACUGACCACAGGCUCCCCAGAAGGUCCAGUUCUGGAAUCUGUGCCUUUCUUCCUGCAGCCCCAGGCUUUCCUGGCUGCCAAAUUGUCUCUUGGCUUCUGUUGGGUCUGUGGGCCACUCGGACCCACAUUCUUUUUGAGAAAAUCGUUGUUAUUCUUGUAGACCCGGACUGCAAAGCACUUCUGCGGGAGUGCCUUUAUCCCUCAUGAAUUUCACCUAUUGGGCCGAGCCCAAGGCUGAAGAGCCCUUUGGAUCCAGGCUCUGCUGCCUGGUUUUAUUGUCUGCUCUCUCUAACCCCAGCUUGGGGUUCGCCCUGGUGCCUUUAGGCGAUCGCGGAGAACAGGGCAAACCUGAGCUCCGACCCCGCCCGGACUAUUAGCAGACAUCCCGCACCCAUCGUCCUGAAUCCCGCCAUUGUCUUGUGGCCCCGCCUGCGUUUUAUCCCCGUCUGCUCCCCGAGAACAGGGAGGGCAGCCUCCCGGGGUACUUUUCUGGGAGCUGCGUACGCUUCCUCCCUCCCCCGCUCACUGAGCUGCGAUCCGGUCCAAAGGAAAUGGCACAAGCUGUCCUGGACCGAGCAGGCCGGUUCUGGGGGAUCUCGGUCCCCUUCCCCCGCUUUGGUCCUAAGGCCAUCCUCGGGGUCCUCUCCAGGGGACCGAUUGCAGGUGGAUAACGAGUCGCUCGUCACACCCGGGAGUGAGCGGGAUGUUCCCAUGAUCACCGCUCCCCAGACUGGGGCCCCUGGGACAUCCCGAGACGGAGGCAGAAAUCCAUCCCCACUAACAGAGGCUUGACAACGCGAGUGAAGUGGGUGGCGUGCCCACCAGGUGGCGCUGUACGCAAGCCAAUUGCCCACCAGUCUCCCCGAGGUCUCUAAUUCAGGCGCCCGAGUCUCUAAUGCGCGUCUAUCGCGCCCUCCCUCUCCCAAGGACUGGGUAAGGAAGAGCCCCCUCACUUCCCUGCUGCCCCGCCCAGAAUUGGAACUUCCAAGGCAAGAAAAGAUCUAGGAUUCAAGGAUGCAAAAACCAGAGAAAUCUCUGCUGCCCCCUCCCCGCCCCGGGGUUGCUAAAUCCGGGCCUCAUCCUUCAAAGUCGGGCCGAGUCAUCAAGCAUGGAUUAAGUACCUACUGUGUGCCGAGCCCCGGGAGACAAGUGGCCCGUCUGAAAUGGGGCGCAGUCUGAUGAGGGAGAGAGCCCACAGAUAGCUACGUCCCCGCAAGGGAGACUCGCGGGGGAGAGCCCAGAAGUGGCUGGGACCGGGAAGGCCUCCCUCCUGCACCAGGUUCCUGGAGGAAGCCAGGGAAGCCCGGAAGUGGAGGUGGGGGGGGUCAAGGGGCCUGGAAUCCGGAGGGUGCAAAGAGCAGUGAGAACCGCAGGAAGCAUUUCUCAAGGGCUUGCCUGCGCCUCGCUUAGUGCUAAGCCCCGAGGUCGUAAAACGGGACUGUCAGCCGGAACCCGAUUUUCCGGAGCUCCUAGGGCAAGAACUCCGCGGGGCAGCGGGGAGAGGAGUUAGGCUUCUCCACCCGAGUCAUUUCCACUGCUAACAAUUCCAUCUGCUUCUGUUGCUGAAGCAUCGGACAGGACCAAGGACGGGGAGGGGGAGGGGGAGGGCUCCCUCCUGAGCCCUCAUUAGCUGUGGCUGCAGAAGCCGCCCCUCCCCAGGGAGUCACCUUUCCAGGGAGCCCUGGGGGGGGGGGGGUGUUGCGCCUCUCCGGGGGCGACCCCUGGCCUCAAGGGCAAUACGAGAUUUCUGUACCUGAUGCAAAAAUCCUGAGCGCUCUCCAACCUGGGCACAAGCUCGGCAUUCCAGCUCAAGCCCCCGUAGACACACCCGUGACCCAUGACAGGGAGAUUACAAGGAGCUCCCCCUUCUCUCGGGCCCCAAGGGCUGUUUUUCAGUUCCUGAAACCUCUCAGGCAGCAGCCUCAGGGCUAAGGGCAUCCCCAGAUAAGGAGCUAAAGGCCGUGCUUGGGCUUGUGCACAACUACUUCUUGUGGCCUUAAGGACGCUCCCCCUUCUUGCUCCUCGUAAGCUAGAAGUUUCACGCAUUAAGGGCCAUGGGAUCCUCGGGGCCGCGCUUGCGUGUCAGUGUUCCUGCGUUACUACAUCUCCCCGGCGCAUUCUUCUUGGGCCUAAUGCCCGUCUGUCAGGGCACAACGCUCCCAGGAGGCUGACUGGAAGCCUGGCCACGCCCAAGGCCCUGGGGCCCCUGUCCUGGGGAGAUGGCAGUUGUCCAGCUUGCCUAGCACCCGCCGCCCCUUGUGUCUCCCUCAGAGCGCCCGGGCACUAGGGCCAGGUCCGGUGAGGGGCAGAUAGUUGAUCCCGGGGGCCGGCGGCUGGUCCUUGUCCAUUGGCGCUGCCUCCUUGGAUGACAGUUUUGAGCCUAAGUUUGCCUGGGGGCAGAUGGCAGAGAUGGCACGGGAUCGGGACGCCAGAAGGGGAACCAGUUUCAAGGGCAGAUGAUGGUGACAGCACGUGGCAUCUGAUGCUGUUGACACACCCCAGCGAAGCGCUUUAUAGAGUCGGGAGUCGGGAGUCAGCAGAGCUGGACCAGCCCGGCACCUUUGCUUCCGUACGCGAAGGUACAUUCUGUGAAUGAAUGCGAAUCCUCCGCCCAGCGUGGAGUCCUUCCAGGAUUGUCCCCGGAGGGAAUCCCCGCCUCCUGUGCCGACGGAUGGGAGGAAAUACUGGCGCGCAGUAAGCACCGACCAGAAGGGAUGGCUUCGGGCAAACCUGGAAGGACUUCCAUGAACUGAUGCUGGCCGGAGUGAGCAGAGGCAGGAGAACAUUGGACACGGCGACAGCAACGUUGUUCGUGAUCAGCUGCGAACGACUUCUCAAUAUGAUAACCCAUCACAGUCCGGGAGGGGCGCCCCAGAAACCCGCUGCCCAUCUCCAGAGAAAGCGCUGAGACUCACCGGGCAGAUCGAAGCUUUGCACUUUUUUCUUUUUUUAAGAACACGGACUGUGGGAGGUCCAAAGGUAUGGGUCCUUGCAUAUGUUCUCACACUUUUGUAUGUAUCGUAUCUAUGAUACAUAUUAUUACGUAUCCCAUACAUAUUAUGUAUAUGUCUAAAAUAUGUAUUUUAUUGGGAAUUUGUGUCUCUUUUCCUUCUUUAUUUUUCCAAAAUGUUAUUUGUUGCAUUGGAUCACUUGCCAGGGGAGGGAGGAGAAAUGAUAAUGAGAAAUUCUUGUAAAAAAAAAAAAGUAUUACAAUUAAUAAAGAAAAAGAAAAAAGAACAUAGUAAAUGCAGAAAUUUGUUUUACAUAACUAUCCAUUUGGCUCGGGGGGAGGGGUUGUGUACCUUUUUUAUUCAUUUUGAGAAUUAAAAUUAAAAAAAGAAAAAAUCCCAUAUACACAAAGACCACAAGAGAAAACUUCAAAAAUAAUAGAUUUCCAUUUCAAGAAAACCUUUGUAAUAAAUACUAGCCAUUUUUUUCCAAGUUGCCCAGCUUUUCAGUGCUUCCUUGUGGCUUUCUUUAGUUCUCUGCUGUUUCCUUUUAGUUUUUUUUCUCCUUCCCCGCCAAGAAGACUACAACUGCCCUCCGACAUAGAAACAGACACACACAUAGCUACCUACAAACAUAAGUCCUGUACGUGCGCGUCCGUAAGACCGUAUUGAGCGUAUUUCCCCUUUUCUUCCGAAGGGGGAUAGCAUCUUUCUUCAAGAUCCAAGUCUUUCCAUGUUUUGUUUUUCGAUCAACAGCCCGUCAUUUUGGAAGCAGGGCAGUAUCCCACGCGACCCCAAUCUAUGUUGAUGGUCUAGGAAAGGUUUUGUACCCCACUUUUCUGCGUUUCUUUCCCCCUUGCUGCUUUUGUUUGACUUACCCAAUAAACAUUUUCGCUUACAAUGAAGUUACUCGUUUUCCAUCUCAGCACUCGGCGCCUUACCUCCGAGGUCCGGCCGGACCGGAUUUCCUUCCUUCACGUUGUUUCUUUAAGAUCCGGACCUUUUGUUCUUCCAAAAGAAUUUUGGUUUUGUUUUUUCUAAGUCGGUAAAAUAAAGUUUUAGAGAUUUACUUAGACGGCAUUGGAUGAAUGGGUAGUUCCGGGAGACAGUUGUUUUCAGGUUGGCUUUAGUCCCCAGGAAUAAGGAGACUCCUCUUCCAAAGGCCCUCGGGGCUGGGAGGAGGAAUCCCUCCCAAGGAGCGGCCAGAAGGAAGGAAGCCCAGAGCCCAAGGGAGCGGCCCCAGCUCGUUAAGCACCCGCAGGAGGGAGCCACCAGCGCCGGCGGGACCCACCGGGGUCCCGGGCGCACCGGGAGGCGCCAGCCCAAGCAGUGCCCCCGUGCCUCCCACCUGCGAGCUGACUUUGCCCCUAGGGGAAAGGACGAAGGGGCGGAGUUACCCUUCCGGGGCCCCGCCCCCGAGGCAGGCCCCACCCACUCCCUCCGGCAACCCCAGUCUAGGCCGCAGUCAACUCUAGUCCGGUUCAGAUUCCUCGGACCCCGCCAUGCCCCGCGGAAGCCGCAGCAGCGCCGCGCCCGCCCCGUCGGCCAGCCGCCUGGCUCCCCCCGCGGCCCCAGCUGCGCCCCCGGCCCCCGCUCCUGCCCCGGCCAGCGGGCAGCCGGGCCUCUUCUCCCAGAUGGCGUCCACGGCGGCGGGGGUGGCCGUCGGCUCGGCCGUGGGCCACGUGGUGGGCAGCGCCCUGACGGGGGCCCUCGGAGGGGGCAGCAGCCCCCGGCCGGAGUCGGCCCCGCGUCCGGAGCAGGCGCCCCAGGCCCCCCUGUCAGCCCCUUCGAGACCCUGCUACUACGAGAUCAAGCAGUUCCUGGACUGCUCAACCACCCAGAAUGACCUGACCCUGUGUGAGGGCUUCAGUGAGGCUCUGAAGCAGUGUCAGCGCAGCCACGGUCUGACCACUCUGAUGUGAAGCUGAGCCCCCCACGCAAGACCAGCCGAGCGGUGGGAGCCGUCCCCUUUGCAAGUGCCGUGGGUGAGGGCACGGGAGAACAGGCCCCGGAACAAUAAAACGCGGCUCCCUGUCCUCCUCUGUGCUCCUGCGCCACCCUCACCCUCUGGGCUGACCUGCUCUUUCAGAGCCCACACUGGGGGGGGGGGCACGCACUCAGUCCAGGGCAUCUGCUGCCCACCCAUCAGCGGCCAUCCUCGGAAAGCAUGAGCUGCUGCUUGGGGGCCUCUGGGGAGCUGGCAACGGCUGGCCCAGCUUCCCCGACGGGCCCUUCGGGUCCCCCUCACGGUCCCCCCAGCCAUCUCUGCCCUUCCUGUGCACCCCCUUUGGGGCUCCCCGGCAGAGCAGGGUGGCCUGGGGAGGCAUCUGGGCUCUGGGUCC